RNAcentral lists this ribosomal RNA (492 nucleotides) under uncultured bacterium. RNAcentral describes it as "partial 16S ribosomal RNA". It matches the Rfam family "Bacterial small subunit ribosomal RNA", at positions 29 to 507 of the family's 1533-position model. The record is from RNAcentral.
AGUGAACGCUGGCGGUAGGCCUAACACAUGCAAGUCGAACGGCAGCACAGUAAGAGCUUGCUCUUACGGGUGGCGAGUGGCGGACGGGGGAGGAAUAAAUCGGAAUCUACUUUUUCGUGGGGGAUAACGUAGGGAAACUUACGCUAAUACCGCAUACGACCUACGGGGGAAAGCAGGGGAUCUUCGGACCUUGCGCGAAUGAAUGAGCCGAUGUCGGAUUAGCUAGUUGGCGGGGUAAAGGCCCACCAAGGCGACGAUCCGUAGCUGGUCUGAGAGGAUGAUCAGCCACACUGGAACUGAGACACGGUCCAGACUCCUACGGGAGGCAGCAGUGGGGAAUAUUGGACAAUGGGCGCAAGCCUGAUCCAGCCAUACCGCGUGGGUGAAGAAGGCCUUCGGGUUGUAAAGCCCUUUUGUUGGGAAAGAAAAGCAGCAGGUUAAUACCCCGCUGUUCUGACGGUACCCAAAGAAUAAGCACCGGCUAACUUCGUG